Molecule: long non-coding RNA, 174 nt
Organism: Haliotis rubra (blacklip abalone)
Lineage: Eukaryota; Metazoa; Mollusca; Gastropoda; Lepetellida; Haliotidae
Exons: 4
Source: RefSeq, a predicted model, not a curated record
GAUGAACAAGUGGCGGAUCAUCACCGGCACCCCAGCCAAGUGGGUUAACGAAUGAGCCAAGUGACGUAUCAUCACCGGCUAUCCAGCCAAUUGGCUUCACCAAUGAAACAAGAGGCGACUUGUCGCUGGUUUCAGCUGUCAAAGAAGGUGAGUUUACACAUGGCAUGAAGGGGC